GGAGGUGCGGGGAAGCGCUUGGAGAAAACUUUUGCGUCCGAGCCGUGUCUGCAGGAUCUCUCAUUCCCAGACCUUGACUGGAUGGAGAAGGAGGCUGUGAGGAAGAGGAAGAUGCCCCAGGACACCUGGGCAGACAAGGAGCUGAGGAUGGAGACCAGGGAGGACAAAUCCCCAUGGCAGAACCUCGUGGAAGAGGCCGUUUUGAGCGGCUCCACGGUGCAGGAACCCAAUGGGGAGGAAAA
Poecile atricapillus (Black-capped chickadee) is the source of this 242-nucleotide long non-coding RNA. RefSeq lists it as uncharacterized. The transcript has 3 exons. The record is from RefSeq and is a predicted model, not a curated record. Lineage: Eukaryota; Metazoa; Chordata; Aves; Passeriformes; Paridae.